AUUGAACGCUGGCGGCAUGCUUUACACAUGCAAGUCGAACGGUAACAGGUUAAGCUGACGAGUGGCGAACGGGUGAGUAAUGCAUCGGAACGUGCCCGAUCGUGGGGGAUAACGCAGCGAAAGCUGCGCUAAUACCGCAUACGAUCUGAGGAUGAAAGCGGGGGACCGUAAGGCCUCGCGCGAUCGGAGCGGCCGAUGUCAGAUUAGGUCGUUGGUGGGGUAAAGGCUCACCAAGCCAACGAGCUGUAGCUGGUCUGAGAGGAAGAACAGCCACACUGGGACUGAGACACGGCCCAGACUCAGACGGGAGGCAGCAGGGGGGAAUUUUGGACAAGGGGCGAAAGCCUGAUCCAGCAAUGCCGCGUGCAGGAAGAAGGCCUUCGGGUUAUAAACUGCUUUUGUACGGAGCGAAAAGGCCCUCUCUAAUACAGUGGGCUCAUGACGGUACCGUAAGAAUAAGCACCGGCUAACUACGUGCCAGCAGCCGCCGUAA
This 493-nucleotide ribosomal RNA is filed under the name uncultured bacterium. Its description in RNAcentral is "partial 16S ribosomal RNA". It matches the Rfam family "Bacterial small subunit ribosomal RNA", at positions 29 to 523 of the family's 1533-position model. The record is from RNAcentral.